CAAGUCGAACGGCAACAGGGAGCUUGCUCCGCUGACGAGUGGCGAACGGGUGAGUAAUGCAUCGGAACGUGCCUAUUUGUGGGGGAUACCGUAGCGAAAGUUACGCUAAUACCGCAUACGCCCUGAGGGGGAAAGCGGGGGAUUCGUAAGAACCUCGCGCAAUUAGAGCGGCCGAUGUCGGAUUAGCUAGUUGGUGGGGUAAAGGCUCACCAAGGCGACGAUCCGUAGCGGGUCUGAGAGGAUGAUCCGCCACACUGGGACUGAGACACGGCCCAGACUCCUACGGGAGGCAGCAGUGGGGAAUUUUGGACAAUGGGCGAAAGCCUGAUCCAGCCAUGCCGCGUGAGUGAAGAAGGCCUUCGGGUUGUAAAGCUCUUUCAGCCGGAAAGAAAUCGCGCAGGCUAAUACUCUGCGUGGAUGACGGUACCGGAAGAAGAAGCACCGGCUAACUACGUGCCAGCAGCCGCGGUAAUACGUAGGGUGCGAGCGUUAAUCGGAAUUACUGGGCGUAAAGCGUGCGCAGGCGGUUAUAUAAGACAGAUGUGAAAUCCCCGGGCUCAACCUGGGAACUGCAUUUGUGACUGUAUGACUAGAGUACGGCAGAGGGAGGUGGAAUUCCGCGUGUAGCAGUGAAAUGCGUAGAUAUGCGGAGGAACACCGAUGGCGAAGGCAGCCUCCUGGGCCAGUACUGACGCUCAUGCACGAAAGCGUGGGGAGCAAACAGGAUUAGAUACCCUGUAGUCCACGCCCUAAACGAUGUCAACUAGUUGUUCGGUGAGGAGACUCAUUGAGUAACGCAGCUAACGCGUGAAGUUGACCGCCUGGGGAGUACGGCCGCAAGGUUAAAACUCAAGGAAUUGACGG
Molecule: ribosomal RNA, 864 nt
Filed under: uncultured bacterium
Lineage: Bacteria
Description: bacterial SSU rRNA
Rfam family: Bacterial small subunit ribosomal RNA
Source: RNAcentral